Molecule: ribosomal RNA, 450 nt
Filed under: uncultured bacterium
Lineage: Bacteria
Description: partial 16S ribosomal RNA
Rfam family: Bacterial small subunit ribosomal RNA
Source: RNAcentral
GUGGGGAAUAUUGGACAAUGGGCGAAAGCCUGAUCCAGCCAUGCCGCGUGUGUGAAGAAGGUCUUCGGAUUGUAAAGCACUUUAAGUUGGGAGGAAGGGCAGUAAGUUAAUACCUUGCUGCUUUGACGUUACCGACAGAAUAAGAACCGGCUAACUUCGUGCCAGCAGCCGCGGUAAUACGAAGGGUGCAAGCGUUAAUCGGAAUUACUGGGCGUAAAGCGCGCGUAGGUGGUUUUGUAAGUUGGAGGUGAAAGCCCCGGGCUCAAGCUGGGAACUGCCUCAAAAACUGCAUAACUAGUGUACGGUAGAGGGUAGUUGAAUUUCCUGUGUAGCGGGGAAAUGCGUAGAUAUAGGAAGGAACACCAGUGGCGAGGGCGACUACCUGGACUGAUACUGACACUGUGGUGCGAAAGCGUGGGGAGCAAACAGGAUUAGAUACCCUGGUAGUCC